This 1881-nucleotide long non-coding RNA is filed under the name Homo sapiens (human). Its description in RNAcentral is "HSALNT0328803". The record is from RNAcentral. Lineage: Eukaryota; Metazoa; Chordata; Mammalia; Primates; Hominidae.
UGUAAAAUAAGUAUAUUUAGGUAUGUAGCACCUUCCUGGAAUAAUAGGGGAGUCAAUAGCAAAGCCUGUGUCCAUUGUGUGUCACUGAUGCAUGUGUUGUGUAGAAAAUCAGGAGGAACUAUGGAUAGGGCUCAGGGUAUGAGUGCUGGCUCCGAACCUGAUAUUAGCUGUGACUUGAGACAAGUCACUUGACUAUGCUGUCUUAAUUUUCCAGUAUGUGAAAAAGUGAAAGAAAUAAUAUGACUUAUUUAGCCCACAGGGUUGUCUACAGCAGAGGAGGAAAAGAUGAAUGUGAUUAACAUAUUCAGCUGGGAAAAUAUGCAGCAAGUUUCAAAUGAGAGCUGUGAGGUACAAAGAGAAGAAGGUUGAGAGAAAAUUUGGAAGUGAAGAGCUAAGGGGCCCAAAAGUAGCAUCUAGAGUGAGAAGAAUGGGCUAGAAGAAAAGUAGCAGUGGGUUUGAUGCGUAGAGAGAGGCUGGCAUGAGCGUGGACAAGAUACCAUCACAGCAGAAAACAUGGAGCCACUUGGUGAUGGGUUGGAGUCUUCUACAUUGACCUUGAUGCAGUGUGUAUCUUCUGUUAACCAUCCCCAUGCUGCAAUCUGUGACAGGAUGGAAUUUGUUGUGAAUCCUUGUAGGGUCAGGGCCAGGAAUCAGUGAGAAUGACUGCAUUGUGUUGAUACUUGAGUCCCCUGCCAAGCUUGGUAGAUAGGAACAGUCCACGCGGUGGCUGAGAGUGAUGAGGUAAUAAUUGAAGAGACAGAGUAAAAUGAACAGAAAACCACUGGGUGUUCAGUGCACAGAACUUCUUGGCAUGCUGGAUUUAUCCAGCAAGAAAAAGAAAUAGAGGGAAGACAUUGGCUGAUGAUCUCUCGCUUGUAGACUUAGUUGCUUAAUUGCCAAUGAGGGAGAGAUGCUGCUUGCAGGGAAAAUAAUGAUGAUGGAAAUUAGUUGAGGUUGAGGGGAAAAGAAGAUGGAACAGAAGUAGAAGACUUGAAGAGGACUCCUUGGAGAAGUUCACAUGACAUUCUGUUUGACGUAAAAUCAGCAUGUGUCCCAAGUAAAUCAACAACAGCUGUUUUAAAUAGCAGAUUGUAUUUCAAAAUAUCAUUAUGAACCAGGGGAAGAAUUGCAUGGAUGCCUGUGUCUCCAGAUUACAGUGAUGGAACCUAGCAUCUGGACAUUGUGGCCAUGGGCAGACAGAUCUCAGAGUUGGCUGGAAGAUGGUUAUCUAUUUAAUGAAACAGUGAUCUUUAGGGGGAAAUUUUUUUCAUGAUUCAUGGGUUAAAAAUGCCAGCAAAAAAGAAUGAAAGGAAAAAAGGCUCGGUUACAUUCAGAGGUGUCAUGCUUCUGUUGGCUAAAGCUUCUACUCAGAAUCCUGUGCAUUUCUCUGAAUGGGGUAGCAAAGCAGUUUAAUACUAGUCUGUUCACUUCAAAAGUACUCACACCAAUAAACUAAGUAAGAUUCAGUACCCAUCCCCACAAGAGUUCUUAGAUAACAUGAUGGACUAACUGUAUUACACUGUGUCACUAAGAAAGUGUAGAUUCUGUGACCUACAGGUUGUUCCAGGCACAGGAUGGACCUGGCUGCACUUUUCAGUCUCUCUUGUUGUCCCCCACUGGUUAAAAUUCCUUCGGCAAUGCCAGCAGCACUUCUCCCUGCUCUGAUUUUAGGCCUCAGAGGAGAAUUUAGGCAUUUCCCCUUCACCUUCUAACAAAUGCUUCUUUGAACAACCUGCUUCCAUGAUGCUACCAAGUGAGCCUUUCCUGUUGGCACAACCCCACUGAGUUGCAGGGCAACAGCUUCAUCCUGUGGUGGCACAUGCAAAUUUCAGAAUCUCCAUAGCCGGACCAGUGUGCCUGACCCAGGUGGGCACCCAUUUC